This 573-nucleotide long non-coding RNA is filed under the name Capra hircus (goat). Its description in RNAcentral is "lncRNA (ENSCHIG00000002678.1)". Lineage: Eukaryota; Metazoa; Chordata; Mammalia; Artiodactyla; Bovidae. The record is from RNAcentral.
GGAAGGACACAAGUUACACUAUGCUAUUAUUGCACACGAAUUUUCUCCUCUCCUGUCAUUCCUCUGCUCCAUCCAGGGCCUGUGUUUGAGUCAAAAGUUUAGACUCUAACUUCGGAUUGAAGUUUUUCUCCUUAUUUAACUGUUGUAAAUGGAUGCGGUGAGAAUUAGUUAGAUGAAGUCUGCAAGACAGAGCCUGCUCUUGGAGAAAUAUGAUAUGUUCAUAUCGGACUUCACAGAACACUGUUUCCACAGAAGAGUGGAGGCACUGGGAAGGUUCCUGAUGCCAUCCAGGGACACCACUGACCUGGCACCAGCUCCCUGCGGUGGGCGCAGAAUGACAGCAGAAAGGCCAUGGCUGGACCUGGGAUGCCAAGUGUAGCUAGUCCAGCAAGCCCUCCAAAAAGGUUUCCAGUAGGACCCUUUAUCUCCAGAACAGAUUAAGCUUUACUUCAAAGCAUGACAAUUCUAGCCAAGCUUUUCUCAAUAAAGCCAUCAAAGCCGGCAGAAGAAAUCCUAUUCUCUCGAUGCCGUGGGAAAUGUGAUUCUCAGUAUGGUGAGGUGGGAGGAAGUAGU